This 66-nucleotide transfer RNA is filed under the name Podarcis lilfordi (Lilford's wall lizard). RNAcentral's name for it is "tRNA.Lys". The record is from RNAcentral. Lineage: Eukaryota; Metazoa; Chordata; Lepidosauria; Squamata; Lacertidae.
GAGUUCAGUCAGUAGAGCACGAGACUCUUAAUAUCAGGGUCGUGGGUUUGAGCCCCACAUUGGGCA